Mauremys mutica (yellowpond turtle) is the source of this 1046-nucleotide long non-coding RNA. RefSeq lists it as uncharacterized. The transcript has 4 exons. NCBI's taxonomy places the organism in Eukaryota, Metazoa, Chordata, Testudines, Geoemydidae. The record is from RefSeq and is a predicted model, not a curated record.
GUUUCUCCACCUCCUCCAGAGAGUCAGUUCUGACUCAGAACAAAGUACAUAAAGGCAGGGAUGGUGCGUGAAGCCUCAUUAACUUAAUCUGUGGCUCACCCUACAAAUGGCUUGUCCACCAUUUUGGAUUCUUCGCCAAACAAACAUAGUUCUUGUAUAAAGAGCACCUGCAAGUAGGUCUGCUUCAAGCAAAAGAAAGUACUACUAGAGCAAACAGAAAAUGCUGUGAGGAAGGUAUGGGAUGGUCCAUAAACGUAUCACAAAUCAUACUGGACAACAAAAGGUUUUGCCAUCUCAUUGGUCAGCUCUCUUUCCAAAUCUUGAGUAAAUAACACUGCAGACACCUGAGAAGAAUCCAUAGCAAGCGGAUUGCUUUCCAAUGUGCCUCUGCGACCUGCCUUGGAGACGCAGAAAAAUGUAAGUCACAUCAAGUCACUUGCAAAAGGACCUCUAGCACCAGAAGUGGCCAAUGCUAGCAGACUAUGUUGCCCCCACCCUAUCUCUGCUUCAAAUGCAGAAACACUGCGAGCUCUGGCUUCGGACUCCCCAAAUACCCUGGCUACUGCAUCCCAGCCAACUCCCCCAGAGCCACAACAAGAAAAAGUGGUCCAAUAAUUUACUAUUGAUGGAAGGACUACCCCUGUCCCUUUGGAUCACCAAACAGGACGCUACAAAUAAAAGAAUAGGUGCUGCUUCAAAGAUCCCUAAACUGGACCCCACCAAUUGGCUCCCCCUUGUAGCUUAUGCAAGGCAACUCCAUCUCCAGAUGGCAUAGUGCUUCCUCAGAGAAUGUCCAGCCCAACGCCAUCAUCAAAAGAAUCAGCACCUCCUCCCCAGCAGGUAACUUCAUGGGAUCCAGUCAUCGGAAGGGCUAGCACUACCUCACAGGUUGCCCCUCGAGACCCACACAAUGGGACCUCGUUCCUAGACAGACCAGCAUGGCCUCCAAGACCACCCAAUGAGACCUUGGCCCCAGAAGGUCUCUCACUGCAUCAAAGAUCCCCCAGACAGAAUUCAUUCACAGAAGGACCAGUGUUGUCCCUGGA